RNAcentral lists this ribosomal RNA (972 nucleotides) under Synalpheus cf. quadrispinosus KMH-2014. RNAcentral describes it as "bacterial SSU rRNA". It matches the Rfam family "Eukaryotic small subunit ribosomal RNA", at positions 565 to 1478 of the family's 1831-position model. The record is from RNAcentral. Lineage: Eukaryota; Metazoa; Arthropoda; Malacostraca; Decapoda; Alpheidae.
UGCCAGCAGCCGCGGUAAUUCCAGCUCCAAUAGCGUAUAUUAAAGUUGUUGCGGUUAAAAAGCUCGUAGUCUGAGUUCUGUUCCGGACUGGUCGGGGAGGUCACCGCCCGGUGCUUGCCCGUCAGGUUCCGAACAGCCCCCGCCACGAGCGGGGGCCAAGCCGGUUCUGCCGGGGUGCUCUUGACCGAGUGUCCCGCGCGGCCGGCCGCUUCACCUUGAACAAAUGAGAGUGCUCAAAGCAGGCUACUCUUGACACUAAAGCCCGAAUGUUAACUGCAUGGAAUGAUGGAAGAUGAUCUCGGUUCCACGUUUGCUGGUCCCAGGUCCAGCAGCCUGCUGCUGGGCCUAUUUAGGAACCCGAGUUAAUGAUAAACAGGGACUGUCGGGGGCAUCCGUACUACGGCGCGAGAGGUGAAAUUCAGUGACCGCCGUAGGACGAACAACAGCGAAAGCAUUUGCCAAGAAUGUCUUCGUUGAUCAAGAACGAAAGUUAGAGGAUCGAAGGCGAUCAGAUACCGCCCUAGUUCUAACCCUAAACGAUGCUGACCAGCUAUUCGCCGUCGUUAUUCCCAUGACGUGGCGAGACGCCCCCGGGAAACCUCGAGUCUUUGAGUUCCGGGGGUAGUAUGGUUGCAAAACUGAAACUUAAAGGAAUUGACGGAAGGGCACCACCAGGAGUGGAGCCUGCGGCUUAAUUUGACUCAACACGGGAAACCUCACCAGGCCCGGACACCAGAAGGAUUGACAGAUUAAGAGCUCUUUCUCAAUUUGGUGGGUGGUGGUGCAUGGCCGUUCUUAGUUGGUGGAGUGAUUUGUCUGGUUAAUUCCGGUAACGAACGAGACUCUGGCCUACUAACUAGUGGGCGGGUGUUCCGGUAAGGGGCCCCGUCCGACAAUGUCUUCUUAGAGGGAUGAGCAGCGAGUAUAGCUGCAGGAGAUUGAGCAAUAACAGGUCUGUGAUGCCCCUUAGAA